This 220-nucleotide long non-coding RNA is filed under the name Citrus sinensis (sweet orange). Its description in RNAcentral is "long non-coding RNA (CSIN_LNC005171)". The record is from RNAcentral. Lineage: Eukaryota; Viridiplantae; Streptophyta; Magnoliopsida; Sapindales; Rutaceae.
GUUCACUAGCGGUGAUGCUGCAGGACGACGAGACAAGACGCAGCAGUCGCAGCUGGUUGGCUGGUUCACAUCGCGCGGCUGAUUGAAGGCUUGGAGAAGGCGAGAAAGCGCGGCUCAACAGGCGAGCAAUGCCGCGGCUAAGCAAGCAAGUAGUGGCAGCGGCUGGUUGUUGGUUCACGUCGACGGUGACGUUGCUAGCUGUCGGCUGAGUUGAAUUAGG